This 384-nucleotide ribosomal RNA is filed under the name uncultured bacterium. RNAcentral describes it as "bacterial SSU rRNA". It matches the Rfam family "Bacterial small subunit ribosomal RNA", at positions 28 to 424 of the family's 1533-position model. The record is from RNAcentral.
GACGAACGCUGGCGGCGUGCUUAACACAUGCAAGUCAAGGGGGCCUCGCAAGGGGCAACCGGCGAACGGGUGCGUAACACGUGAGCGACCUUCCGUCUUCUGGGGGAUAGCCGGCCCAACGGCCGGGCAAUACCGCAUACGCUGCUUUUCGGGCAUCCGAGGAGCAGGAAACUUCCGGGGGAGGACGAGGGGCUCGCGGCCUAUCAGCUAGUUGGCGGGGUAACGGCCCACCAAGGCGACGACGGGUAGCUGGUCUGAGAGGACGACCAGCCACACUGGAACUGAGACACGGUCCAGACUCCUACGGGAGGCAGCAGUGGGAAUUUUGGACAAUGGGGGAAACCCUGAUCCAGCCAUGCCGCGUGUGUGAAGAAGGCCUUGGUU